GACGAACGCUGGCGGCGUGCCUAAUACAUGCAAGUCGAGCGGACCAAAGGGAGCUUGCUCCUGGAGGUUAGCGGCGAACGGGUGAGUAACACGUGGGCAACCUGCCUGUAAGACUGGGAUAACAUCGAGAAAUCGGUGCUAAUACCGGAUAAUAAAAAGAACUGCAUGGUCUUUUUGAAAGAUGGUUUCGGCUAUCACUUACAGAUGGGCCCGCGGCGCAUUAGCUAGUUGGUGAGGUAACGGCUCACCAAGGCAACGAUGCGUAGCCGACCUGAGAGGGUGAUCGGCCACACUGGGACUGAGACACGGCCCAGACUCCUACGGGAGGCAGCAGUAGGGAAUCUUCCGCAAUGGACGAAAGUCUGACGGAGCAACGCCGCGUGAGUGAUGAAGGUUUUCGGAUCGUAAAACUCUAGUUGUUAGGGAAGAACAAGUGCCGUUCGAAAGGGCGGCACCUUGACGGUACCUAACGAGAAAGCCACGGCUAACUACGUGCCAGCAGCCGCGGUAAA
Molecule: ribosomal RNA, 512 nt
Filed under: uncultured bacterium
Lineage: Bacteria
Description: bacterial SSU rRNA
Rfam family: Bacterial small subunit ribosomal RNA
Source: RNAcentral